RNAcentral lists this transfer RNA (85 nucleotides) under Felis catus (domestic cat). It matches the Rfam family "tRNA". Rfam says of the family: Transfer RNA (tRNA) molecules are approximately 80 nucleotides in length. Their secondary structure includes four short double-helical elements and three loops (D, anti-codon, and T loops). Further hydrogen bonds mediate the characteristic L-shaped molecular structure. tRNAs have two regions of fundamental functional importance: the anti-codon, which is responsible for specific mRNA codon recognition, and the 3' end, to which the tRNAs corresponding amino acid is attached (by aminoacyl-tRNA synthetases). tRNAs cope with the degeneracy of the genetic code in two manners: having more than one tRNA (with a specific anti-codon) for a particular amino acid; and 'wobble' base-pairing, i.e. permitting non-standard base-pairing at the 3rd anti-codon position. Lineage: Eukaryota; Metazoa; Chordata; Mammalia; Carnivora; Felidae. The record is from Rfam by way of RNAcentral.
ACCUGGGUAGCUCAGUCGGUUGAGCAUCCGACUUCGGCUCAGGUCAUGAUCUCACAGCUUGUGGGUUCGAGCCCCACAUCGGGCA